AUAUCUCUCUGUACGGGAAGGAUGAGAAGCUUCUACCAGGGUUCGAUUCGAGCGCAGCGAGAAAGCGUUGCCGCAGGCAACGACCCGAAGGGCGAAGCGCGCAGCGCUGA
RNAcentral lists this small RNA (110 nucleotides) under Salmonella enterica subsp. enterica serovar Heidelberg. Its description in RNAcentral is "partial RtT sRNA". It matches the Rfam family "RtT RNA", at positions 1 to 109 of the family's 130-position model. From Rfam's summary of the family: This family represents a bacterial cis-regulatory element known as RtT RNA. The exact function of RtT is unknown although it is thought that it may be involved in changing the cellular response in relation to amino acid starvation. Lineage: Bacteria; Pseudomonadati; Pseudomonadota; Gammaproteobacteria; Enterobacterales; Enterobacteriaceae. RNAcentral also lists the same sequence under 2 other names. The record is from RNAcentral.